AUGAACAAGCUCAAAUUUAACUUUUGUUGUUGGAAUGUGUGAGGCCUCGACCAGCCGAAAAAGUGUUCUGAUGUGCUUUCGGAGCUCAUCUCCAUUCACCCCCAUGCAUGUUUUCUGCAAGAAACCAAGCUCAGUGCCUUUGAUGCCUUCAAACAAAAAUCGUUUCUUCCACAUCACCUAAACCUGCUACAUACUUCACCUGCCAUUGGCUCGACAGGUGGUAUGCCCUCACCCUUCUCCUCCUCCCACUUCACUAUUCUUUCUACAAACUCAGGUGCCUACACUCAAACGUCCAUAAUCUCCUGCAUAGCCUCCCCUCAGCAUCUUGCAAUCAGAAACAUCUACGCCCCCACUGACCAUGGCCUUAAGAACCUCUUCCUCCAGGAGCUUGCUAGCUUCGCUCCCUCGCAAACCACACCUUGGCUUAUUUUAGGUGAUUUCAACCUCCUUCGCCAUGCGUCCGACAAAAACACUCCUCACUUUCAUGAAGCCAAAACUGAUAUGUUUAACGCCUUCAUUCACUCCCAUGCUCUCAUUGAUUUGCCCCUACUGGAUCAUCAUUUCACGUGGUCUGGUAAGAGAGACCAGCCCACUCUCGAAAAAAUUGAUAGAGUUUUCGUUAGUGUCGAUUGGGUUCUCCUCUUACCUAACACUAAUAUUACCUCUCUCACUCGCUUCGUCUCUGAUCACGCCCCUCACAUCGUCACGAUUGAUACUAAUAUCCCGCGUCCCGCGCUUUUCAUUUUCAAGCCAGGUGGGCCCUUAGGCCCGGUUGUCAGGGGGUUAUCGCUCAGGCUUGGGCCGAGCCCCAAAUUCGCUCGAACCACACGCUAUCUCUGGUUGCCGCCCUAA
RNAcentral lists this ribosomal RNA (852 nucleotides) under Triticum aestivum (bread wheat). RNAcentral describes it as "partial small subunit ribosomal RNA". Lineage: Eukaryota; Viridiplantae; Streptophyta; Magnoliopsida; Poales; Poaceae. The record is from RNAcentral.